GAUGAACGCUAGCUACAGGCUUAACACAUGCAAGUCGCGGGGCAGCAUGGUGGUUGCUUGCAAUCCCCGAUGGCGACCGGCGCACGGGUGAGUAACGCGUAUCCAACCUGCCCUUCACCUCGCUAUAACCCGGCGAAAGUCGUACUAAAACCGUACGUCUUCCGUUUACGGCAUCCGAUUUGGUCGAAACGCUUGGGGGUGGGGUAGGGGGAUGCGUCCGAUUUGCCAGAGGGGGGGCUUACCGCCGGCCGUGGGUACGGUCGGUAGGGGUUCUGAGAGGGAGGUCCCCCACACGGGAACUGAGACACGGUCCAGACUCCUACGGGAGGCAGCAGUGAGGGAGAUUGGUCAAGGGGCGUAAGCCUGAACCAGCCAAGUAGCGUGCAGGAUGACGGCGCUAUGGGUUGUAAACUGCUUUUAUGCGGGGAUAAAGUGGCGCACGUGUGGGCUUUUGAAGGUACCGCAUGAAUAAGGACCGGCUAAUUACGUG
This 490-nucleotide ribosomal RNA is filed under the name uncultured bacterium. RNAcentral describes it as "partial 16S ribosomal RNA". It matches the Rfam family "Bacterial small subunit ribosomal RNA", at positions 28 to 507 of the family's 1533-position model. The record is from RNAcentral.